This 253-nucleotide ribosomal RNA is filed under the name uncultured bacterium. RNAcentral describes it as "partial 16S ribosomal RNA". It matches the Rfam family "Bacterial small subunit ribosomal RNA", at positions 524 to 776 of the family's 1533-position model. The record is from RNAcentral.
UACGUAGGGUGCGAGCGUUGUCCGGAAUUAUUGGGCGUAAAGAGCUCGUAGGCGGUCUGUCGCGUCGGCUGUGAAAACCCGGAGCUCAACUCCGGGCCUGCAGUCGAUACGGGCAGACUGGAGUUCGGCAGGGGAGACUGGAAUUCCUGGUGUAGCGGUGAAAUGCGCAGAUAUCAGGAGGAACACCGGUGGCGAAGGCGGGUCUCUGGGCCGAUACUGACGCUGAGGAGCGAAAGCGUGGGGAGCAAACAGG